GGGGAUUUAGCUCAGCAGUGUAAGCACCUGCCUUGCAAGCAGGCGGUCGUGAGUUCAAUCCCCG
Molecule: transfer RNA, 64 nt
Organism: Cavia porcellus (domestic guinea pig)
Lineage: Eukaryota; Metazoa; Chordata; Mammalia; Rodentia; Caviidae
Rfam family: tRNA
About the family: Transfer RNA (tRNA) molecules are approximately 80 nucleotides in length.
Source: Rfam